RNAcentral lists this ribosomal RNA (460 nucleotides) under uncultured bacterium. Its description in RNAcentral is "partial 16S ribosomal RNA". It matches the Rfam family "Bacterial small subunit ribosomal RNA", at positions 338 to 795 of the family's 1533-position model. The record is from RNAcentral.
CCUACGGGUGGCAGCAGUGAGGAAUAUUGGUCAAUGGACGAGAGUCUGAACCAGCCACGUAGCGUGAAGGAUGACUGCCCUAUGGGUUGUAAACUUCUUUUAUAAAGGAAUAAAACGAGGCACGUGUGCCUUUUUGCAUGUACUUUAUGAAUAAGGAUCGGCUAACUCCGUGCCAGCAGCCGCGGUAAUACGGAGGAUCCGAGCGUUAUCCGGAUUUAUUGGGUUUAAAGGGAGCGUAGAUGGGUUGUUAAGUCAGUUGUGAAAGUCCGCGGCUCAACCGUGGAAUUGCAGUUGAAACUGGAGGCCUUGAGUGCACACAGGGAUGCCGGAAUUCAUGGUGUAGCGGUGAAAUGCUUAGAUAUCAUGAAGAACUCCGAUCGCGAAGGCAAGUGUCCGGGGUGCAACUGACGCUGAGGCUCGAAAGUGCGGGUAUCAAACAGGAUUAGAUACCCCAGUAGUC